AUAGCUUCAAAGGUAGAUUGGGGUGGAGAUAGUAGAAAAUACCAUCACUUAAGGGGCUCAGGCUAGAAAGUUAGGAGGAGUUAAGAUAUAGAAGAGAAAGAAUGUAGGACAUCUCUAGGCAUAUGGGUUACAAAGAGACCAGGAAGUCAGAUUUCAAGAAAGUUUAAAGAAUAGAAAUUCCCUAUGUUGGUCUUUGAGAAACUAAGAAAAAUUUGCUAGUCUAAUGUUUCUUUUUCUUUCUUUCCUUUUUUUUUUUUUUUUUUUUUUUUNCCUUUUCCAGGGCCGCAUCUGCAGCAUAUGGAGGUUCCCAGGCUAGGGGUCUAAUUGAAGCUGUAGCUGCCAGCCACAGCCACAGCCACAGCCAUGCCAGAUCCCAGCCGUGUCUUUGACCUACACCAUAGCUCAUGGCAACGCCGGAUCCUUAACCCACUGAUGGAGGCCAGGAAUCGAACCUGAAACCUCAUGGUUCCUCUUCGGAUUCGUUAACCACUGAGUCACGACGGGAACUCCCAGUCUAAUGUACAAAUUAUAUGCUAAAAUACCUUCAAGCAUUCCAAGUAUUUGUUACAAGCUCUAGCUGUAGUUAACCUAAAGGUUUAAAUGGGAAUUCAGUUGAAAUAAAAUUUAAUGUUCAAGUUUAAAACUUCCUGCAGUGGCCAAGGGUUAGAUUUUAUCACAGAGGGGAGCUUUGGACCUCAACCUCCUAAAAUUUGCCUUAUCAACAUAACCAACAGGGAAAUCCAUUUCUGAGGCAAAACAAGCUAUAGAUCUGAAAUGAAAUAGAUAAUCAAAAUGCUGAAGAGGAAAAUAAAAAAAGCCAAAGGGGAAAUAGGAUAUUUUUUUCAUGAGCAUUGCUUCCAAUGCUUUUUUCAAUAUCCCAGACCAAUUUGUAGGUGACAUAGUAGCUAUGAACAAAAGUGUUAUGACUGCUUGACUUGCUGAUUGCAAAGUGACAAAACUCAGCCCUCUACAGAGUUAAUCUGAAAUAGCAACUUUCCAAAAUUAGAACAUUUGUCGGGAGAGUUAGAAAAACGGGGGCAGGUGGAGCAAAAUAAAAGCAAGUGGAUUUUUUUAUGGUCUUGAUCUCCCUUUGCAUUUGAAAAUGUGACCACCAGAAGAGCUAUUACUAGUGUGGGUAUCACACCUGAUCCUGUCUGAUCAGCUACUUUUUGAUUUGAGUUUCUGCUUCUAGACUUUCUAGUGCUCUUCAUGGUCUGCAUGGUGCCAUUGCUGCUUAAAAGAAAUUGUGCAUUGCAGUUUUCUCUGUCUUCCGUACACCCCCAUAAAGCCCUGUGUCUCAUUUCAUCUUUCAAUCAAUCAUUGAAAUUAAGCUCACUGUUAAAACAUGUCCCUGACCACUAUCCUAGCUCAGUUUUAAAAGGUACAGUCAGUUAAACAGCCGAUUAUCUCUGCAAUAUUUUGUUGGCAUUUACGUAUCCUAGAUUAUGGAGAUUUUUCUGGAAGCAUGUCAUAGAGCUAAGUUAAUCCUUUACAAGAUUAGUAUAAGUCAUACUACAACAAUUCAGUGGGUAACGAUAUAUCAUAGUGUUACUGCCCUUCAGUAGUUUUCAGUUGAGAAGGUGAAGUAAGGUUAGAGGUGAAGAGGUCUUUAACUAUACGAGCUUUUCAAAGACCUAUAACCUCUCCAAUCAAGUUCUAAAAUAAUCUGUUUGUACUAUUUUUUAAGUGUAAUUAAUAAAUUAAUUGAUUUUCAUGGUUGUUUCCCACUUGCGAUUUUGUUACCUUUUAAACAGACUUGCUUGCUUUUAUUCAAAUUAACAAAAGUAUGUGCUAAGUAUGUGUAAGGUACUACCGAGAACACAGAGGCAUUCAAAAAUGAAUAGUCCCUCUUCUGACUAUAUGCUUAAUAAAGUAAUGAAACAGAGAUGUAUAUGACUGUAAAUAAGCAGACUCUUAGUUGGGUCCCAUAUGAGUAAUUGAUGUGAAAAUCAUGUCAUAGAAUUCAUCUUUUAAAAUUGCUUAAAUUGCCCAUGACUUUUUGUGUGCAUGGCUUUUUAAGUGUUCCACUUUCUUUCAGCAAGUCCCAAUGCAGAAGUGCAUUGUCUUCUGAACAGAGUGCUGUUUAGUUGGGUAUCAGAUGAGGUUGUUGGCGUGUUUAUAAGGUAUUUUAAUACAAAAAGCAAACAACAAAAUAGCAAAACAAGAUAGGACACAAUUAAAAACACACACUCACACAAACCAUGUUCCUAUGUUAGGUUUGAUGUGUUUAUUUGAAGGUUCACAAUUUAAAUGCUGUAUGAUGUAUCUUCACUUUAUUAAAAUACUAUGACAGCUGCCUUAGGAGAAAUGCAAACAAAGGGUUCUGGGGUUUAAAGGAGAAAAAGCUCAUACCAAAAUAGUUUAGAAAGAAACUUUUAAAGGAAAUUGAAUUUGAGAUUUUAAGAACAGUUUUGAUUUGACAAACUAAGCUUUCCAAUACAAGCAAGUGCAGUCUGGGCAAAGCACACAACUUGAACAAACAAACAAAAAAUCAAAAUGUCUAAAUGUAUUGUAACUAGCCCUUUCUAUCAGAAGUUUAGAGUAUGAAUUGAACAUUAGGAAGUGAUUAUGUCCAGAAGGGCAGGUUAGACAUUGUUAUGAGGGAGAGAAGUUUACACUGAACUGUAAAGGUCACUUGGAGGAGAGUACCUUAGUUGUGGUUUAGUUGUAUGAAUUGACUUAUAAAAAACUAGAGUUCUUAUAAAAAACUAGAGAGGAGAAAGACUUGAGACGUAUUGUGCAGAAGGAUGAUGGAGAUAAGGAGAGCUGGAACUGGGAGUGUGGUAUUGAAAACAGCAAAGUACAGGGAAGACCCAAGAAAUGUUGCUGUGUGGAUUUUGUCCCCUACUGAUAAGAUUGAUACUGACAAUGGGAGAAAAAUUUGCAUCUCAAUCACACAUUAGGUCAACUACAGCUUCUUGAAUAAAGGUAGUCAGUCACUUAUUCAGGUGGGUAUAUAGGUAUAUUAUAUAGUAUAAAAUACACAGAGAUUAUAACUACUAAAUUGCUCAUAAAAUAAAACUUUAUUUUUCCCUUUUCCUAGGAUUCAUUCAAAACACGGAUAAAGUAACAGUCCAAAUGUUUAUUCCUUAGUAAUAUUUUACAUGUAUCUCAUUUGGCAGUAUCUCUACACUUGUGUCUGUAUGUUGGAUCUAACUUAUAUCUUUAAUUUUAUGUGGUAUGCAUUGUAGUCUCUUCAGUGAAAGGAAGUUAAAUUACUACAAAGGGAUUUAUAAUCCUUCUUAAGUGAUGAAAUUUGUUAGUAAGCCUUUUAAAUCUAGAAUAUAAUUAAGUUCAUCACAAUUACUUUAGAUCAAUAGUUCAUCUGUGGUUAUGGGGAAUGUGCUUUAGUAAUGUAUUAUGCCAUUAUUAUUAUUAAUUUUGUAUAUUACUUGAUAGAAAAAUAAGGUCAUUAUGAAAGUGUUCUUGCAUUCAUCCAUACAUUCAUUUAUCUAAAUCUAUCUCAUUUUUGACUUUUGAUCAGAUCAGUUGUGUUUAGUCUUUUCAAGACAAAAACCUCACUAAUUUAAAAAGAACAAGGCUUUCUCAUUUUUUAUGAAGAAUAUAAUUUCUCAUGAUUUUAUCAAGUUUUUCUCUUCCUUUCCUUUUCUUUUCUUUAGAAAUUGAUUUCAAGAUCGGAGUUCCUGUCGUGGCUCAGUGGUUAACAAAUCUGACUAGGAACUGUGAGAUUGUGGGUUCAAUCCCUGGCCUUCGCUCAGUGGGUUAAGGAUCUGGUGUUGCCGUGAGCUGUGGUGUAGGUCACAGACUUGGUUCAGAUCCCACGUUGUUGUGGCUGUGGUGUAGUCUGGCUGCUAAAGCUCUGAUUCAGCCCCUAGCCUGGGAAUUUCCAUGCCG
RNAcentral lists this long non-coding RNA (3855 nucleotides) under Sus scrofa (pig). Its description in RNAcentral is "lncRNA (ENSSSCG00015017625.1)". Lineage: Eukaryota; Metazoa; Chordata; Mammalia; Artiodactyla; Suidae. The record is from RNAcentral.